GAUUUAAAGAUCUACAGACACAAAGAGAUAAAGUACAAUAAAAUAAACUAUAGUUUGCUUCUUAAAGCUCAUUCGUAAAGAAUUUAAAGCUCAUAAUUCUAUAAAUAUCAACUGUUCAUUCAGUUUUUUACUAAGCAAAUUCAUGGUAACAGUGUUUCCAUGGUAACAGUGUUUUCUCUUUUCAGGUCACACUGACUGAAUGUCGUCUACUGAGACACAUCAUCAUUAAUAAUGGUUUAUACUUCAUCACUAAAUGGUAUUUUUACUUCUGGAAAUCAUUUGUGACAGAGCUUAAACUGUUCAAAAAAAAAUCCUCUUUCUCAGCUCACACAAAAGAUUUGAUGAUGAAAGAGUGAAAACAGACACUCCCAAACCACACACACAUACACACACACACACACACACACACACACACACACACACAGAGAACACCACUCUUCCCUAGUAAACAAGGUGACGAGGAACAGCAUUACUCAACGGCUGAUGAUUAUUUACACAAACAUGCCGUUGGGAAACGAGGUGAUGAUGGAUCCGGAGGAAAAGCAUAUGCUGUCCAUCUGAUCCCAGUCAAAUCCAGUGCAGUGCUUCCACUGACCCUUCCUCUCGUCAUGAUAAAAAAGAUUAAACAUGUUUCUCCUGAGAAAAAGACCUCAGUAAUCUCACAUGUGUUCCUCUAGAGUUCCAGAUCUCAGUCAAGUCAGCUUUAUUUCUACUGCGCUUCAUACAAUACAGACUGUUUCAAAGCAGCUUCACAGUGAUCAACAGGAAAGUAGAUUCAAUAAUGCAAACAGAGAUCAAUUCUACUGUAAAGCAGCUCUACAAAGACAAUAGUCUCAUUAUUCAGAUCAGUUCACUUUAGUGUUGAUUCAGUUUAGUUCAAUAACUGGAAAUGAUCGCAAACAUUUCAAAAACCAGCAAAUUUUAAGGGUUUUAAAGGAAAAAUUACAGAGAAUUCUAGAGAUUUUUAAAAUAAUUUAACUGAUAUUUUACAAAAAAACAUGAUGUCAAAUAUAAUGCUUUGAAAGAGUAAAAGUGUAUAGCCUAUUUGGGAUUUUGCCACAAGGAAUGGGAAUGUUUGUGUUGUUGUUGUUUUGUAACAUGUAUUUUUGCAUGCUUUGAAGAACUGUGUGUGUGUGUGUGUGUGUGUGUGUGUGUGUGUGUGUGUGUGUGUGUGUGUGUGUGUGUGUUUCUCCAGCAUGAGUCUUAUAAUUACACACAUUCUGUGUCCCGCCGUAACGCAUUCCUUCCUGCUGGCCCUCGAUCAGCCGGAGUUAAUCCCAGCGAGAACUUGCGGAAGGAACGCAUGCUAUUGAUGAAAGUGUCCGACUUCUAUUGCGCUUUUCCAGUUUUCCUCACUGAUGAAGAGAAAGAGUCGCUCAUCUUCUCACUACCGACGUUCCUCCUGUCAGGAGAUUCUGCUUAGUAACCCGUUGUCAUGGUGGUGGUCCCGCGCUCUGAUUGGACGGGAGACGAGGCCUCAGGGACUCCGACGGCUCUGGAAGCGAAUCUCUUCGGGGAGUGAGGAGAGGAGAAGCGCUGAUGUCUGUUGGGCUGGACACAAGGCCUGUCUUUGUGCUGGAAAGUGAAUGAUGAAUGCUCUCGAGACGGCUCGACUUCACUGUUCAGCUGCGCUGAUGUUGGAACGAGAACCGCCUUGUUCAGCCGUGUUUGGUGUGGUAAAGUUAUAAAUACUGCUUUAAACAUCAGACCUCUCGUACUGUUAUUCUGAAGGAGCUUUAAGCAUGUUAGUUCACAUGACUUCAUCUCUGUUAUUUCAUUGGUUCAUCCUCCACACUGGACGGCCCCUUUACUGUUUGUUGAUGUUAAAAAGACACCAAAUUAAAUUUGUUUGACCCUAAGUUUGCUGUCAAAAUUAACCCAAUAUAUGAUUUUUAACUUUAACUAAUGUAGGUCUAUGCAUUAAAAAUAUAGCCUAUAUGCAUAAUACAUGCAUUAAAAAGGUUAAAUAAUGAGUGAAUUCAAAGAAAUGUGUUGUUUAUGUCUGUAUAACCACUUCUGAAAUGACGUUUCUUUCAGCUGACGUCCCUGAGCUCUAAAUGUUUAAAGGUCGACAGCUCUACAUGAGCAUUUAACAUAAAGAUAAUAAAUGCAUUUACAAUAUAUAUGCAUUAAAAGGUCAAAUAAUGAGUGAAAUCAGAGAAAUACUGAGAUGUUUAUUUUCUUUAUUUAACCGUUUCUGAAUCGACUUUCAGCUGACGUCGCCGAGUUCUUGUUUAUAACCCGUAAAUUAUCGCGAAACAAUGUAAUAGUGUUUAAAAGUUGACAAAAUGAAUAUGUGCGUUGAACAUUAAGAUGGGUGAUGUAUUUGUGUGUAAAUCAGUAGAGCAGAUGGUGUUUGUUUGCGGCGCGUGUUUACAGUCGCGAGAUCGUGUUUAUGUUCACAUCUGCAGCUCUGUGUGCGUGUGCAAGUUUUCAUGCGUUUGUGUUUGUCUUUGGCUCAUUUUGUUUGUGUGGGCGAGAGAUUUUAACAGACCCGAGCAGCAGAUUCAGUUCCCGGCAGAUAUUACGCAUAAAUACGUGAUUACAAAAUGAUGUGUUCAAGUGUCUUGCAUCAUUAUGGAAGCACAUUUACGCCACAUAAGAGAAAAAUAAUGCUUUUGUAAAUCAUAAUUAUGACAUAAAAAUUCUGAAUUAUUCUGCAUACAUACAUUCUGAAUUCUGAAGUCAUAAUUGAGAUUUAGUAAAGCAUGAUUUGUCCUUCCACGCGUCACUGAUACUCUCGGAUGAGCCGAAGGACGGAUACGGUUCCUCCGGACAUCACGGGAGUCUCUCUGUGGUUCGACUGCUUCAAUUAAACACUGUAAAUAAUUGAAGCGAUGCUGAAACAGAAGCAGGGCCUCAUGGGAGAUGGGUGACAUCAUCAGUUCAAGUGAGGGGAAAUGGACACCGCUGUGAGCGGAGACUGAAGUCACUGACGUCCUCAAUAUAUCCCACAAAAACGCUCCUGUUUGACUGAUUGAUGAAAUGUGAAGUUCACAGAAGAAAAAAACAGUGAUCAGGAAACAAAUCCUGGUUACAGAAUUAAA
Megalobrama amblycephala (Wuchang bream) is the source of this 3047-nucleotide long non-coding RNA. RefSeq lists it as uncharacterized. NCBI's taxonomy places the organism in Eukaryota, Metazoa, Chordata, Actinopteri, Cypriniformes, Xenocyprididae. The transcript is spliced from 4 exons. The record is from RefSeq and is a predicted model, not a curated record.